This 234-nucleotide ribosomal RNA is filed under the name uncultured Actinomycetales bacterium. Its description in RNAcentral is "partial 16S ribosomal RNA". It matches the Rfam family "Bacterial small subunit ribosomal RNA", at positions 96 to 334 of the family's 1533-position model. Lineage: Bacteria; Bacillati; Actinomycetota; Actinomycetes; Actinomycetales. The record is from RNAcentral.
UGGCGAACGGGUGAGUAACACGUGGGUGAUCUGCCCUGCACUCUGGGAUAAGCCUGGGAAACUGGGUCUAAUACCGGAUAGGACCAUGCUUUAGUGUGUGUGGUGGAAAGUUUUUUCGGUGUAGGAUGAGCCCGCGGCCUAUCAGCUUGUUGGUGGGGUAAUGGCCUACCAAGGCGGCGACGGGUAGCCGGCUGAGAGGUUGGUCGGCCACAUUGGGACUGAGAUACGGCCCAG